Molecule: ribosomal RNA, 440 nt
Filed under: uncultured bacterium
Lineage: Bacteria
Description: partial 16S ribosomal RNA
Rfam family: Bacterial small subunit ribosomal RNA
Source: RNAcentral
CCUACGGGUGGCAGCAGUGGGGAAUAUUGCACAAUGGCGGGCACUCUGAUGCCGCGACGCCGCGUGAGUGAAGCAGUAAUUCGUUAUGUAAAGCUCUAUCAGAAGGGAAGAAAGUGACGGUCCCUGGAAAAGAAGCUCCUGCGAAAUAAGUGCCAGCAGCCGCAGUAAUACGUAGGGAGCGAGCGUAUUCCGGAUUUACUGGGUGUAAAGGGAGAGUAGGUGGCAGAGCAAGUCCGAAGUGAAAACCCAAAGCUCAACUAUGGGAAUGCUUUAGAAACUGCUCAGCUAGAGUGCAGGAGAGGCAAGUGGAAUUCUUAGUGUAGCGGUGAAAUGCGUAGAUAUUAGGAGGAACACCAGUGGCGAAGGCGGCUUGCUGGACUGUAACUGACACUGAGGCUCGAAAGCGUGGGGAGCAAACAGGAUUAGAUACCCGUGUAGUC